Molecule: long non-coding RNA, 1222 nt
Filed under: Macaca fascicularis (crab-eating macaque)
Lineage: Eukaryota; Metazoa; Chordata; Mammalia; Primates; Cercopithecidae
Description: lncRNA (ENSMFAG00000064517.1)
Source: RNAcentral
GGACUCCAGCCUAGGCAACAGAGUGAGACUCAGUCUCAAAAAAAAAAAAAAAAAAAGAAAAUUGGGCAUGAUGGUGGUGCCUAUAGUCCCAGUCACUUCAGAGGCUGAGUGGGAGAAUCGCUAGAACCCAGGAGUUUGAGUCUGCAGUGAGUUAUGAGCAUGCUCCAGCCUGGACAGCAUAGUUAGCCCCUGUCCUUGAAAAUGAAAAUAAGAAGCUAGGGCUGGAGAGGCAAGAGAGGGAGAUCAGAUCUUGGAGAGAGAUAGUGGACCAUUGUAAGGACUUGGGCUUAUAGAUGAGAGCCACUGCAGGGCUUUUUCUGAGCAGAGGAGGGACACCUCUGACUUCUCUCAAAGCAGCACCCUGCGGGGUGGGGAGAUUGCAGAAGCAAGGGCAGAAACAAGAGACCAGUCAGCAGGCUCUUGGAGUAAUUCCAAGAGGGUUGAUUACCCUAGAGGCCGGCCUAGGGUGGUGGCUGAAGAGGUGAUGAGAAGGGGUGGGAUUCUAGAAAUAUUUUAAAGGCUGACAGGAUUUAUCGCCAGGGCAAAUAUGAAGUGGGAGAGAGAAAGAGGAGAGAGGAAUCAAGGAAAGUCUCAAGGUUUUGGCCUGAGCAACAGGAAGAAAGGGUUGUCACUAAUCAAGAUGGAGAAAACUGGCCUUGCUAGUUUGUUGGGUUUGGGUGGGAAGCCCAGUUUUGAACGGGUUAGGUUUCAGACACCCAUUAGAUACAUCUGAGUGGAGGGUUAAGUAGACACUGGUUAGGCAGGUCCAAUGCAGAGGAAAUGUGCAGCUGGGGAUAAAUACUGGGGAACCACCAGCACAGACCUGCUGGUAUUUAAAGCCACAGUUUUCUGAGACUAUCUAGCUCUGUACUGUGCAAUACACUAGCCACAUGUGGCUCUCCAACACAUGAAAUUAGUGCAAAUUCUGGUCGGGCACGGUGGCUCACGCCUGUAAAUCCCAGCACUUUGGGAGGCUGAGGCGGGUGGACCACGAGGUCAGGAGUUCGAGAGCAGCCUGACCAACAUGGUGAAGCAAUGUCUCUCCUAAAAAUACAAAAAUUAGCCAGGCAUGGUGGUGGGUGCCUUUAAUCCCAGCUACUCAGGAGGCUGAGGCAGGAGAAUCGCUUGAACUUGGGAAGCAGAGGUUGCAGUGAGCCGAGAUUGCGCCACUGCACUCUAGCCUGGGCAACAGACCGAAACUCCAUCUCAAAAAAAAAAAAAA